RNAcentral lists this ribosomal RNA (254 nucleotides) under uncultured bacterium. Its description in RNAcentral is "partial 16S ribosomal RNA". It matches the Rfam family "Bacterial small subunit ribosomal RNA", at positions 524 to 776 of the family's 1533-position model. The record is from RNAcentral.
UACAGAGGUCUCAAGCGUUGUUCGGAUUCAUUGGGCGUAAAGGGUGCGUAGGCGGCGCGGUAAGUCGGGUGUGAAAUCUCGGAGCUUAACUCCGAAACUGCAUUCGAUACUGCCGUGCUUGAGGACUGGAGAGGAGACUGGAAUUUACGGUGUAGCGGUGAAAUGCGUAGAUAUCGUAAGGAAGACCAGUGGCGAAGGCGGCUUCCUGGACCGAUUACUGACGCUGAGGCGCGAAAGCUAGGGGAGCAAACGGG